AUUAUGUCUAGGCAAAUGGAAAAUUUUCCAUUCGUUUGCCAUUCGCAGCGCCUGGGUGACGUCAACAAGAUUAUGAAGCAACUAUAAAGGAGGGCCCGUCGGCUUUUUAGAGGGAAACGUAACAAUGCUGUCAAUAAGUGCGAGUGAACAGGGCGUGCAGAGACAGAGAGAGAGAGAGAGCAACUGUCAGCAAUAAUAAGAGUACAAGCUGCUCAUUAUUGCGUCCCACCACAGUCAUGGCACUGAGCUGUAAGUGUGACUGAAACGACACUGGAGUAUGCUUGAAAAACAAACUUGUCCGCGC
Molecule: long non-coding RNA, 304 nt
Filed under: Drosophila guanche
Lineage: Eukaryota; Metazoa; Arthropoda; Insecta; Diptera; Drosophilidae
Source: RNAcentral